Molecule: long non-coding RNA, 451 nt
Organism: Bufo bufo (common toad)
Lineage: Eukaryota; Metazoa; Chordata; Amphibia; Anura; Bufonidae
Exons: 3
Source: RefSeq, a predicted model, not a curated record
CGCGCUCAGACGGCUGUGAUAUAGGCUGUGCAUGGGAAAGAUUCCUAUGGACGGAAUCCGAUCUCUCUCUUGGCACUCUACAGUGGGUGUCUUUCCUGUACUUAGCUGUGUAGCAGUAGUAUGAAUUCAGCCGAAGUCCUUUAAACUGGCAAAUUGUUAAAAAAAAUUGAUUCAGUCACUUUUUGGUGUGUUGCAUUCUGAGAAAAUUAGAAAACAACCAUUAUGGUCACCUGUAUGGCUUCCAAUGGAGUUUUUACUCAACUUUUGUUGCGCAAUGAAGCAGUGGCGGCAGGGGAAUACAGUACGGUAUAGCUGGGCAGACUGGCUGACUAUAUGGUGACUCCUGACGCACCAUUUAUAUGCCCGUUUUGAUGGAUCUUGAUUGGCUUUUUUCCCCUCAAAAUUAAAGUGUAUUCAAUAUUAAUGUUAAACAAUAGCACACGAACGUUGU